This 254-nucleotide ribosomal RNA is filed under the name uncultured bacterium. RNAcentral describes it as "partial 16S ribosomal RNA". It matches the Rfam family "Bacterial small subunit ribosomal RNA", at positions 524 to 776 of the family's 1533-position model. The record is from RNAcentral.
UACGGGGGGAGCAAGCGUUGUUCGGAUUUACUGGGCGUAAAGGGCGCGUAGGCGGUCAGCACAAGUCAGUUGUGAAAUCUCCGGGCUUAACUCGGAAAGGUCAACUGAUACUGUGCGACUAGAGUGCAGAAGGGGCAACUGGAAUUCUCGGUGUAGCGGUGAAAUGCGUAGAGAUCGGGAGGAACAUCUGUGGCGAAGGCGGCCAUCUGGACCAGCACUGACACUGAGGCACGAAAGCGUGGGGAGCAAACAGG